Molecule: ribosomal RNA, 253 nt
Filed under: uncultured bacterium
Lineage: Bacteria
Description: partial 16S ribosomal RNA
Rfam family: Bacterial small subunit ribosomal RNA
Source: RNAcentral
GACGAAGGGGGCUAGCGUUGUUCGGAAUUACUGGGCGUAAAGCGCACGUAGGCGGGUCGUUAAGUCAGGGGUGAAAUCCCAGAGCUCAACUCUGGAACUGCCUUUGAUACUGUCGACCUAGAGUUCGGAAGAGGUUAGUGGAAUUCCCAGUGUAGAGGUGAAAUUCGUAGAUAUUGGGAAGAACACCAGUGGCGAAGGCGGCUAACUGGUCCGAUACUGACGCUGAGGUGCGAAAGCGUGGGGAGCAAACAGG